GUGAGUCAUCGAAUCUUUGAACGCACAUUGCGCCCCUUGGUAUUCCGAGGGGCAUGCCUGUUCGAGCGUCAUUACAACCCUCAAGCACUGCUUGGUCUUGGGCUCCGCCGCUCACCCGGCGGGCCUCAAAAUGAGUGGCGGCGCCAUUAGGCUCUGAGCGUAGUAAAUUUCCUCGCUACGGAGUCCUGGUGACGCUGGCCAUCAACCCCCAACUUUCUAAGUUUGACCUCGGAUCAGGUAGGGAUACCCGCUGAACUUAAGCAUAUCAAUAAGCGGAGGA
RNAcentral lists this unclassified non-coding RNA (280 nucleotides) under Cadophora sp. Its description in RNAcentral is "partial contains 5.8S ribosomal RNA, internal transcribed spacer 2, and large subunit ribosomal RNA". The stretch from base 1 to 71 matches the Rfam family "5.8S ribosomal RNA", at positions 84 to 154 of the family's 154-position model. The record is from RNAcentral. Lineage: Eukaryota; Fungi; Ascomycota; Leotiomycetes; Helotiales; Ploettnerulaceae.